GCUUUCUUAAAACCGCACUAAAAAGGUAAAAAGAGCAAAUGCCACCUUAAAGGCGUGUCUUAUUAUUAAG
Molecule: non-coding RNA, 70 nt
Organism: Coprobacillus sp. CAG:605
Lineage: Bacteria; Bacillati; Bacillota; Erysipelotrichia; Erysipelotrichales; Coprobacillaceae
Source: Rfam